RNAcentral lists this ribosomal RNA (439 nucleotides) under uncultured bacterium. RNAcentral's name for it is "partial 16S ribosomal RNA". It matches the Rfam family "Bacterial small subunit ribosomal RNA", at positions 338 to 795 of the family's 1533-position model. The record is from RNAcentral.
GCUACGGGAGGCAGCAGUGGGGAAUAUUGGACAAUGGGGGAAACCCUGAUCCAGCGACGCCGCGUGAGUGAAGAAGUAUUUCGGUACGUAAAGCUCUAUCAGCAGGAAAGAAAAUGACGGUACCUGACUAAGAAGCCCCGGCUAACUACGUGCCAGCAGCCGCGGUAAUACGGAGGAUGCGAGGGUUAUCCGGAUUUAGUGGGUUUAAAGGGUGCGUAGGCGGACUGCAAAGUCAGCGGUAAAAUCGCGGGGCUCAACCUCGCUCCGCCGUUGAAACUGGCGUUCUUGAGUGGGCGAGAAGUAUGCGGAAUGCGUGGUGUAGCGGUGAAAUGCAUAGAUAUCACGCAGAACCCCGAUUGCGAAGGCAGCAUACCGGCGCCAAACUGACGCUGAAGCACGAAAGCGUGGGUAUCGAACAGGAUUAGAUACCCUUGUAGUC